CCAAUAGCGUAUAUUAAAGUUGUUGCAGUUAAAAAGCUCGUAGUUGAAUUUCGGGAUCAAUGCGUCGGUCGUGCCUCGGUACGCACUAACGAUAUUGACCUCUACCUUCUGACGAACCGUGAUGUCAUUAAUUUGGUGUUACGGGGGGUUAGGACUGUUACUUUGAAAAAAUUAGAGUGUUUAAAGCAAGCAAUCGCUCGAAUACAUUAGCAUGGAAUAAUGAAAUAGGACGUUCGAACCUAUUUCGUUGGUUUCUAGGAUCGACGUAAUGAUUAAUAGGGAUAGUUGGGGGCAUUAGUAUUCAAUUGUCAGAGGUGAAAUUCUUGGAUUUAUUGAAGACUAACUACUGCGAAAGCAUUUGCCAAGGAUGUUUUCAUUAAUCAAGAACGAAAGUUAGGGGAUCGAAGACGAUCAGAUACCGUCGUAGUCUUAACCAUAAACUAUGCCGACUAGGGAUCGGAUGAUGUUAAUUUUUUAAUGACUCAUUCGGCGCCUUACG
RNAcentral lists this ribosomal RNA (499 nucleotides) under uncultured Glomeromycotina. RNAcentral describes it as "partial small subunit ribosomal RNA". It matches the Rfam family "Eukaryotic small subunit ribosomal RNA", at positions 591 to 1092 of the family's 1831-position model. The record is from RNAcentral. Lineage: Eukaryota; Fungi; Glomeromycota.